AUUGAACGCUGGCGGCAUGCCUAAUACAUGCAAGUCGUGGGGAGCGGCGGACGGGUGAGUAAUGCCUAGGAGUCUGCCUGGUAGUGGUGGAUAACGUCCGGAAACGGGCGCUAAUGCCGCAUACUAUCAGAUGAGCCUAGGUCGGAUUAGCUAGUUGGUGGGGUAAAGGCCUACCAGGGCGACGAUCCGUAACUGGUCUGAGAGGAUGAUCAGUCACACUGGAAAUGAGACACGGUCCAGACUCCUACGUGAGGAAGCAGUGGGGAAUAUUGGACAAUGGGCGAAAGCCUGAUCCAGCCAUGCCGCGUGUGUGAAGAAGGUCUUCGGAUUGUAAAGCUCUGUAAGUUGGGAGGCGUUACCAUCAGAAUAAGCACCGGCUAACAUCGUGCCAGGAGCCGCGGUAAUUC
This 407-nucleotide ribosomal RNA is filed under the name uncultured bacterium. RNAcentral describes it as "partial 16S ribosomal RNA". It matches the Rfam family "Bacterial small subunit ribosomal RNA", at positions 30 to 526 of the family's 1533-position model. The record is from RNAcentral.